UCCUUUGCGCUGUCCUGCCGCUCACGGAAACAAGAAGGUCGCAGUUAGCAGCAGUAAACUCAAGCGGGAGAGAAAUUAGACCGCAAUCAUGCUGGGACAAGCUGUGAGGCGCUUCACGACGUCUGCUAUCCGUUCCUCACACUAUGCUGAAGGACCAGGCAAGAACCUGCCAUUCUCUGUGGAUAACAAGUGGCGUCUGCUGGGCAUGAUGGUCUUGUUCUUCGGAAGUGGCUUUGCAUUCCCCUUCAUUGUCGUCAGACAUCAGAUUCUGAAGAAGUAAAAUGCUCCAGCGAUUCCUUCAAGGCUGUCAGCUGGAACAUAUUUAUCUGUGCAGAAGAAUGGGAAUCACUUAAUUUUCUUUGUAAAUAAAGCCUCCUUAAGUACAAA
Molecule: RNA transcript, 387 nt
Organism: Salarias fasciatus (jewelled blenny)
Lineage: Eukaryota; Metazoa; Chordata; Actinopteri; Blenniiformes; Blenniidae
Gene: cox7c
Gene name: cytochrome c oxidase subunit 7C
Exons: 3
Source: RefSeq, a predicted model, not a curated record